This 284-nucleotide unclassified non-coding RNA is filed under the name Melitaea cinxia (Glanville fritillary). Its description in RNAcentral is "misc RNA ENSMCXG00005000303.1". Lineage: Eukaryota; Metazoa; Arthropoda; Insecta; Lepidoptera; Nymphalidae. The record is from RNAcentral.
GGGGGAUGGUAGGUUGACUUACUCAUCACGAAAUCUCCGAAACUAUAACAGCUACAAACUUGAAAUUUGGUAAGUAGGUUCCUUAUAAAGUGUAAACAUCCACUGAGAACGAAUUUUACGAAAUUCAAUCCCUAAGGGGAUAAAACGGGGGUUGGAAGUUUGUAUGAAAGUCCUAUGUUUUUGAAGUAAGAGACUUGAAAUUUAAAAUGUAUGCUUUAUAGAUGAUGAGAAGGUGUUCGAAUAAUGUAUCUUUAGAAAUCAACUCCCUUUUGGGGUUAAAACGG